UACAGUGCUGUUCACUUUUCUUUCAAUCUGACUGGACUGCGUCAUCACUGAAAACCCUACAGUGGUUGGCGUAUGCCGCUUGUGGAAUGUCGGACAUGUUGUUUUUAAACAAUUAGCAGCGGGGGAAAAAUUGAUUACGAUGGCGAGAUUGGCCUUUUUUGGCCAAGCAGACCUAUUCAAGGACAGCUGUUAGGAACCGGUGACUGUCCAAAGGGGAUUGUGACAUUAAGGUAAAAAAAACCUAAAUGUAUGUGGCUUACUCAGAGACAGACAGACAGAAAUGUUUUUCUAGUUAUGCACUCUCUCUAGCUGUUAUUCCUGGCUUAUAUUGGCGAUAU
Molecule: long non-coding RNA, 338 nt
Organism: Oncorhynchus keta (chum salmon)
Lineage: Eukaryota; Metazoa; Chordata; Actinopteri; Salmoniformes; Salmonidae
Exons: 3
Source: RefSeq, a predicted model, not a curated record